UGUUUGAUGUUCUAACGUGGACCCGUGAUCCGGGUUGCGGACAGUGUCUGGUGGGUAGUUUGACUGGGGCGGUCUCCUCCUAAAGAGUAACGGAGGAGCACGAAGGUUGGCUAAUCCUGGUCGGACAUCAGGAGGUUAGUGCAAUGGCAUAAGCCAGCUUGACUGCGAGCGUGACGGCGCGAGCAGGUGCGAAAGCAGGUCAUAGUGAUCCGGUGGUUCUGAAUGGAAGGGCCAUCGCUCAACGGAUAAAAGGUACUCCGGGGAUAACAGGCUGAUACCGCCCAAGAGUUCAUAUCGACGGCGGUGUUUGGCACCUCGAUGUCGGCUCAUCACAUCCUGGGGCUGAAGUAGGUCCCAAGGGUAUGGCUGUUCGCCAUUUAAAGUGGUACGCGAGCUGGGUUUAGAACGUCGUGAGACAGUUCGGUCCCUAUCUGCCGUGGGCGCUGGAGAACUGAGGGGGGCUGCUCCUAGUACGAGAGGACCGGAGUGGACGCAUCACUGGUGUUCGGGUUGUCAUGCCAAUGGCACUGCCCGGUAGCUAAAUGCGGAAGAGAUAAGUGCUGAAAGCAUCUAAGCACGAAACUUGCCCCGAGAUGAGUUCUCCCUGAGACUUUAAGUCUCCUGAAGGAACGUUGAAGACGACGACGUUGAUAGGCCGGGUGUGUAAGCGCAGCGAUGCGUUGAGCUAACCGGUACUAAUGAACCGUGAGGCU
RNAcentral lists this ribosomal RNA (713 nucleotides) under Salmonella enterica subsp. enterica serovar Panama. Its description in RNAcentral is "partial 23S ribosomal RNA". It matches the Rfam family "Bacterial large subunit ribosomal RNA", at positions 2211 to 2925 of the family's 2925-position model. Lineage: Bacteria; Pseudomonadati; Pseudomonadota; Gammaproteobacteria; Enterobacterales; Enterobacteriaceae. The record is from RNAcentral.